GACGAACGCUGGCGGCGUGCUUAACACAUGCAAGUCGAACGGAAAGGCCCUGCUUUUGUGGGGUGCUCGAGUGGCGAACGGGUGAGUAACACGUGAGUAACCUGCCCUUGACUUUGGGAUAACUUCAGGAAACUGGGGCUAAUACCGGAUAGGAGCUCCUGCUGCAUGGUGGGGGUUGGAAAGUUUCGGCGGUUGGGGAUGGACUCGCGGCUUAUCAGCUUGUUGGUGGGGUAGUGGCUUACCAAGGCUUUGACGGGUAGCCGGCCUGAGAGGGUGACCGGCCACAUUGGGACUGAGAUACGGCCCAGACUCCUACGGGAGGCAGCGGUGGGGAAUAUUGCACAAUGGGCGGAAGCCUGAUGCAGCAACGCCGCGUGCGGGAUGACGGCCUUCGGGUUGUAAUCCGCUUUCGCCUGUGACGAAGCGUGAGUGACGGUAAUGGGUAAAGAAGCACCGGCUAACUACGUG
Molecule: ribosomal RNA, 468 nt
Filed under: uncultured bacterium
Lineage: Bacteria
Description: partial 16S ribosomal RNA
Rfam family: Bacterial small subunit ribosomal RNA
Source: RNAcentral